This 477-nucleotide ribosomal RNA is filed under the name uncultured bacterium. RNAcentral's name for it is "bacterial SSU rRNA". It matches the Rfam family "Bacterial small subunit ribosomal RNA", at positions 29 to 506 of the family's 1533-position model. The record is from RNAcentral.
AUGAACGCUAGCGGGAGGCCUAACACAUGCAAGCCGAGCGGUAUUUGUCUUUCGGGACAGAGAGAGCGGCGUACGGGUGCGUAACACGUGUGCAACCUGCCUUUAUCUGGGGGAUAGCCUUUCGAAAGGGAGAUUAAUACCCCAUAAUAUAUUUGAUGGCAUCAUUAGAUAUUGAAAACUCCGGUGGAUAGAGAUGGGCACGCGCAAGAUUAGAUAGUUGGUGAGGUAACGGCUCACCAAGUCGAUGAUCUUUAGGGGGCCUGAGAGGGUGAUCCCCCACACUGGUACUGAGACACGGACCAGACUCCUACGGGAGGCAGCAGUGAGGAAUAUUGGACAAUGGGUGCGAGCCUGAUCCAGCCAUCCCGCGUGAAGGACUAAGGCCUUAUGGGUUGUAAACUUCUUUUAUACUGGGAUAAACCUACUUACGCGUAAGUAGCUGAAGGUACAGUAUGAAUAAGCACCGGCUAACUCCGU